This 875-nucleotide ribosomal RNA is filed under the name uncultured bacterium. RNAcentral's name for it is "bacterial SSU rRNA". It matches the Rfam family "Bacterial small subunit ribosomal RNA", at positions 8 to 853 of the family's 1533-position model. The record is from RNAcentral.
AGAGUUUGAUCAUGGCUCAGAUUGGACGCUGGCGGCGGGCUUCAACAACAAUGCAAGUUCGAACGGUAACAGGAAGGAAGCUUGCUUUUCUUUGCUGAACGAGUGGCGGACGGGUGAGUAAUGGCUUGGGAAUUCUGGGCUUAUGGAGGGGGAUAAACUACGGGAAACUGUAGGCUAAUACCGGCGUAAUAUUCUUUCGGAUUAAAGGGUGGGAACUUUCGGGCCACCUGCCAUAAGAUGAGCCCAAGUGGGAUUAGGUAGUUGGUGGGGUAAAGGCCUACCAAGCCGACGAUUCUUCUAGCUGGUUCUGAGAGGAUGACCAGCCACACUGGAACUGAGACACGGUCCAGACUCCUACGGGAGGCAGCAGUGGGGAAUAUUGCACAAUGGGGGGAACCCUGAUGCAGCCAUGCCGCGUGAAUGAAGAAGGCCUUCGGGUUGUAAAGUUCUUUCGGUGAUGAGGAAGGUGUUUGUUUUAAUAGAACAAGCAAUUGACGUUAGUCACAGAAGAAGCACCGGCUAACUCCGUGCCAGCAGCCGCGGUAAUACGGAGGGUGCGAGCGUUAAUCGGAAUGACUGGGCGUAAAGGGCACGCAGGCGGUGACUUAAGUGAGAUGUGAAAGCCCCGAGCUUAACUUGGGAAUUGCAUUUCAUACUGGGUCGCUAGAGUAUUUUAGGGAGGGGUAGAAUUCCACGUGUAGCGGUGAAAUGCGUAGAGAUGUGGAGGAAUACCGAAGGCGAAGGCAGCCCCUUGGGAAUAUACUGACGCUCAUGUGCGAAAGCGUGGGGAGCAAACAGGAUUAGAUACCCUGGUAGUCCACGCUGUAAACGCUGUCGCAUUUGGGGAUUGGGCUUAGAGCUUGGUGCCCGUAGCU